RNAcentral lists this long non-coding RNA (1677 nucleotides) under Canis lupus familiaris (dog). RNAcentral's name for it is "lncRNA (ENSCAFG00040017284.1)". Lineage: Eukaryota; Metazoa; Chordata; Mammalia; Carnivora; Canidae. The record is from RNAcentral.
AUGUUCACAGAUUGUCAGGAAAUUCCAAUCUUAUUACGGCUGAUGCCUUCUCUUCAUCAAGGUUGCAUCGAAAUCAGAGAAGCUUACGUGGUAGUUAGAAGAUUAGGUGAGUUGAAAGGGAAUGAUGGGAUGCAAUGUCAAUGCUUUUAUUUUCGAAGGAAUUUCUCAUGCUGCCAUUCUCAAUAUUUAAGUCCCUGUUUGGUCUUGGAGUUGGGUAGCUCUACUCUGGCUUCUGCAUCACACGAGGACUUAGGGAGCCAGCCUCUGCCUGGAGGCACAAUGCAACCUUCCCUGGGAUCCUGCUGCAUCUCCAGCAUGAAGGCCGAGGCACCCCUGAAACCAGAUGUCCUGUCUCCUCCAAAAGUCUUUUGCGGUGGUGGAGAAACACCGCUCAACCUCUUGUGUAGAGAGCAUUACUCUGCUUCUUCCCUCCUACCUGUCCUCCCUUUUUUUCUGCUAUAACAGACUUCGUGGUCCAUUUCAAAACACUCAAAUUAUUAAGUGUUGAGAAAAAAGUUAACAUUUUCUUAGGGGCAAGGAAGAGUUGGUCUCUAAAUUCUCUUAGGAAAAAAUUUGAAGAAAGGAAGAAAAAUAAAAUAGCUUUCCCUUUCAAACAGUCUUUCAUUCACAUCAUACCUACAAAAAAAAUUUCAUACUUUUAUGUAGGAAAAAAAUCAUGUGAAAAAAAGCUUCGAGAAAAACCUGGGGAAAUUAUUACCAUGUAUAUGAUAAACAGAGAGUUUUUACAAGUCAAAAUGCAAAAGACAGUAUUCCAUAAAAAGUUGGCAAAGAACACAAGCAACCAAUCUAGAGGAAACAAUAUAAAUUAUCAUUAAAUAUGAAACAUUGCUUACCCUCUCUAGAAAUUUUAGGAUUGCAAACUAAAGUAACAACCAUCAUUUCAUACCAACCAUAUUGGCUUUUUUUUUUUUUUUUCUCAGUCAGUCUCGGGAGGUGGGUGUGGGGUGACGGGCAUUAAGGAGGGCACAUGAUGAGAUGAGCACUGGGUGUUAUACUAUAUGUUGGCAAAUUUAAUUAAUGAAUUAAUGAAUUAAUUAAUUAAUUUAUUUAUUUAUAUUUUUUUGGCAAAUUGAAUUUAAAUAAAAAAAAAGUCAAUCUCAAAAUUUGGGGUAAGGACUAUGGUGAGACAAGUUACCUGCCCAAGGAACAAAAAAUUCAAUAAUCACAAAAAAUAACAUUUUUGGUGGAAAUUAAUCUAAAAAAGUCUAUGGUGAACAAAAUGUCAUAAAGAUUUUUUAAUAAAGAUUUUAUUUAUUUAUUUGACACACAGAGACAGAUAGAGAGCACAAGCAGGGGGGAACGAGAACAGGAGAGGGAGAGGGACAAGCAGAUAUCGUCUGAGCAGAGAGCCCGACUGGGGGCUCCAUCCCAGGACCCUGAGAUCAUGACCCAAGCCGAAGGCAGAUGCUUAACUGACUGAGCCACUUAAGUGCCCCCAAAAUGUCAAAAUUUUAAAUAAAGGCAGUAUUCAGCCCUGCAUUUUCUAUGACCUUAAUCCUGGCCUGCACCUAGUGGUGAAUAUUAGUAGAAACAAUACUCUGUUACUGUCAAAGGCCUACAAAUUGGUGGACAAUUUGGCAAUAUAUUUCCACAAUUGAAAUAUACGUAGCUCUUUUUAUAAAAAUCCUACUUUUGGGAAUUUAUCAUAAUGAAGCA